This is a long non-coding RNA of Paramisgurnus dabryanus, 1729 nucleotides long. RefSeq lists it as uncharacterized. The record is from RefSeq and is a predicted model, not a curated record. NCBI's taxonomy places the organism in Eukaryota, Metazoa, Chordata, Actinopteri, Cypriniformes, Cobitidae.
GUGUCUGUUUGUGAGACACUUAAAGUUUUGCUUAAGGGUGUUAGGGAACCCUGGGUCUUAUAAACAAAAUAUACGUGUGUUUACAAUGUACUUCUGAUACUGGAUACCAUUAACUUAAAGUUACAUGCUGCUAUAGCAAUUCUAAUAAUGUGCUAAGUUGUGUUUCCUUGCCUUUCCUCGUCACUACUUUGCCUUCAGAUAGUUUGUUCUGUCCAGACACAUGUGUGGCAAGUCAUUUUUUGUCUUUGCAUUUCAUUUUUAGUUAGUAACGUCUCUCUUUCUUUUUGCUGUUCUACAGACAGGUCAUUGCUUCAGCUCCAACAUCCAGUUUGUGGUGCUGCAGAACAAACCCCACUUUUUAGUGGAUAUAUUCAAGCGAACCCAAAGGCUCUUUUAAGAGCCAUCCACAUUGCACAGGACAUUUUCUAUUCGACGUCUUAUUCAUUAUUACGUACAAAAACGCUGAAAACGUACAAAAACGCUGAAAACGUACAAAAACGCUGAAAACGUACAAAAACGCUUCUUGUGAUUCUGAAAAACGCUUCUUGUGAUUCUAAAAAAUGCUUCUUGUGAUUCUGAAAACCCCCUUCCUGUGAUUCUGAAAACCCCCUUCCUGUGAACCUGAAAACCCCCUUCCUGUGAACCUGAAAACCCCCUUCCUGUGAACCUGAAAACCCCCUUCCCGUGAACCUGAAAAUCUUCUUCCUGUGAAUCUGAAAAUCUUCUUCCUGUGAGCCUUACUGCCAAACCCAAGUGAACAUUGACACCACUGAACUACAACUACUACAAGAGAAAAGGAGCUCCAAAACAUCUCUUCCAGUACACCUUGCUGCCUGUUGUCUUCAAGAAGGACCACUGAUUCAAGCUCAGCUUUUGAAGCCUACUGUUUAACGUUACAUUAGUUACAUUUUUUGUGGUAGAGUUUAUCAUACAGGUAUAUUUUAUUUAAAUAGAUUUUAUAAGCUAUAUACAAUUAAAUAGUCUUUCUGUUAGUCUUGUUAAAAAAAAUUCUGUACAGUAUACGUUAAAGUACAUUUGGGUGACAUUUUAUUUAUUAUAAACAUUACAUUCGUGUUACUUAUUACAUUAGUCUGAAUUAUUAAAUCUGUGUGAAGUAUUACAUAAGUUUGAGUUAAUACACCUGUGUUAAGUUUUUCAUUAGUCUUGAGUUAUUUAAUCUGUGUUAGUAUUACAUUAGUCUGAGUUAUAACAUCUGUGUAACAUUAGUCUUAGUUGUUACACCUGUUUUUAGUAUUACAUUAGUCUUGAGUAAUUAAAUCUGUGUUAAGUAUUACAUAAGUUUGAGUUACUACAUCUAUGUUAAAUAUUACAUUAGUCUCAGUUAUUUAAUCAUAUUACAUUAGUCUGAGUUAUAACAUCUGUGUUACAUUAGUCUAAGUUGUUACACCCGUUUUAAGUAUUACAUUAGUCUUGAGUUAAUAAUUCAGUGUUAAGUAUUACAUUAGUCUGAGUAAUAACAUCUGUUUUACAUUAAUCUGUGUUAUUAAAUCUGUGUUAAAUAUUACAUUAGUCUCAGUUAUUAAAUCUGUGCUAGUAUUAGAUUUAUAGCAUUCGAGUUUACAGUUACAUAAGUAAUCUUUUCACAUACUUGUGUGUCAUAUAUUUAAGUUCCUUGAGUAAUUGAUUGCAUAAUAGACAUUACCUGUGGCUGUAAGUUCAUAUAUUUCAAAAUUGAUCUGUGUUUAAGCUUUACAUCUGCUCAACCUAA